UGGAUUGGUGCCUUCGGGAACUGUGAGACAGGUGCUGCAUGGCUGUCGUCAGCUCGUGUUGUGAAAUGUUGGGUUAAGUCCCGCAACGAGCGCAACCCUUAUCCUUUGUUGCCAGCGGUUAGGCCGGGAACUCAAAGGAGACUGCCAGUGAUAAACUGGAGGAAGGUGGGGAUGACGUCAAGUCAUCAUGGCCCUUACGACCAGGGCUACACACGUGCUACAAUGGCGCAUACAAAGAGAAGCGACCUCGCGAGAGCAAGCGGACCUCAUAAAGUGCGUCGUAGUCCGGAUUGGAGUCUGCAACUCGACUCCAUGAAGUCGGAAUCGCUAGUAAUCGUGGAUCAGAAUGCCACGGUGAAUAAGUUCCCGGGCCUUGUACACACCGCCCGUCACACCAUGGGAGUGGGUUGCAAAAGAAGUAGGUAGCUUAACCUUCGGGAGGGCGCUUACCACUUUGUGAUUCAUGACUGGGGUGAAGUCGUAACAAGGUAACCGUAGGGGAACCUGCGGUUGGAUCACCUCCUUACCUUAAAGAAGC
Molecule: ribosomal RNA, 538 nt
Filed under: Salmonella enterica subsp. enterica serovar Typhimurium
Lineage: Bacteria; Pseudomonadati; Pseudomonadota; Gammaproteobacteria; Enterobacterales; Enterobacteriaceae
Description: bacterial SSU rRNA
Rfam family: Bacterial small subunit ribosomal RNA
Source: RNAcentral